CAGCAGCCGCGGUAAUACGUAGGGUGCGAGCGUUAAUCGGAAUUACUGGGCGUAAAGCGUGCGCAGGCGGUUUUGUAAGUCAGAUGUGAAAUCCCCGGGCUUAACCUGGGAACUGCGUUUGAAACUACAAGGCUAGAGUGUAGCAGAGGGGGGUGGAAUUCCACGUGUAGCAGUGAAAUGCGUAGAGAUGUGGAGGAACACCGAUGGCGAAGGCAGCCCCAUGGGUUAACACUGACGCUCAGGCACGAAAGCGUGGGGAGCAAACAGGAUUAGAUACCCAGGUAGUCCACGCCCUAAACUAUGUCAACUAGUUGUAGGGCCUUAACGGGCUUGGUAACGUAGCUAACGCGUGAAGUUGACCGCCUGGGGAGUACGGUCGCAAGAUUAAAACUCAAAGGAAUUGACGG
This 407-nucleotide ribosomal RNA is filed under the name uncultured bacterium. RNAcentral describes it as "bacterial SSU rRNA". It matches the Rfam family "Bacterial small subunit ribosomal RNA", at positions 509 to 916 of the family's 1533-position model. The record is from RNAcentral.